CGACCUGAGCUCAGGCAAGGUUACCCGCUGAACUUAAGCAUAUCAUUAAGCGGUGGAAAAGAAACUAACCAGGAUUCCCCUAGUAACGGCGAGCGAACCGGGAAUAGCCCAACUUGAAAAUCUCCCCUUGGAGAAUUGUAGUCUACAGAAGCGCCCUCAUGGGCUGGCGGAACUCAAGUCGGAUCGAAUGCCGCGUCAGAAAGGGUGAUAACCCCCGUCGGUUCCUGCCUAGUCCUCUCACGAGGUGCUUUCCACGAGUCGGGUUGUUUGGGAAUGCAGCCCUAAUUUGGAGGUAAAUCCCUUCUAAGGCUAAAUACUGCUGAGAGACCGAUAGCGAACAAGUACCGUGAGGGAAAGAUGAAAAGAACUUUGAAAAGAGAGUUAAAAGUGCUUGAAAUUGUUGAGAGGGAAGCGAUUAGCGCUUGUGUGUGCCCCCCGGCUAAGUGUGCCUAACGGCCCAUGAAUGUGCUGGGUGCUGGUCAAAGUGGUUGUCUUGGCGGGAAACAAUUGGGUCCACCCCGGUAACCCGGCCGAUGCCGCCGAGAUGAACAAGGCGUGAAGGUUGCUUUGUCCUUCGGGAUCCGCAUCCUAAAGACUCUGGCAGAAAAGCGUUAAUCGACCCGUCUUGAAACACGGACCAAGGAGUCUAACAUGUAUGCGAGUUGGCGGGUUGAAAACCCGUAAGCGCAAGUAACCUGACUGGUGGGAUGGCCUGUGCCUGCACCAUCGACCGACCAUGUUGCUUNUGCGAAAGGUUUGAGUGCGAGCAUACCUGUUGGGACCCGAAAGAUGGUGAACUAUGCCUGAGCAGGGUGAAGCCAGAGUAACCUCUGGUGGAGGCUCGUAGAUGUGCUGACGUGCAAAUCGCUUUUCAGACUUGGGUAUAGGGGCGAAAGACUAAUCGAACCAUCUAGUAGCUGGUUCCCUCCGAAGUUUCCCCCAGGAUAGCUGGAGCUUGAUCAGUUUUAUCGGGUAAAGCGAAUGAUUAGAGGUUCGGGGGAUGAAACAUCCUUCACCUAUUCUCAAACUUUAAAUAGGUAAGACGUGUCGGUUGCUUAACUGAACCGUCACAUUCAAUGUGAGCUCCAAGUGGGCCAUUUUUGGUAAGCAGAACUGGCGAUGCGGGAUGAACCGAUAGUCGAGUUAAGGUGCCAAACUGCGCGCUAACCUAGAUCCCACAAAGGGUGUUGAUUGAUAUAAACAGCAGGACGGUGGUCAUGGAAGUCGAAAUCCGCUAAGGAGUGUGUAACAACUCACCUGCCGAAUCAAUUAGCCCCGAAAAUGGAUGGCGCUUAAGCGCGCGACCUAUACUCGGCCAUGGAUGCAAGUGCGACGCGUCCAUGAGUAGGAGGGCGUGGGUGUCGAGACUAAGCCUCUGGCGUGAGCCUGGGUGAAUCGGCAUCUAGUGCAGAUCUUGGUGGUAGUAGCAAAUAUUCAAAUGAGAACUUUGAAGACUGAAGUGGAGAAAGGUUCCAUGUGAACAGCAAUUGGACAUGGGGGGUCGAUCCUAAGAGAUGGGGCAAUCCUGUGUGAAGAGCGCGAUUUGCGCUUCCCAUCGAAAGGGAAAAGGGUUAAGAUUCCCUUNNNNNNNNNNNNNNNNNNNNNNNNNNNNNNNNNNNNNNNNNNNNNNNNNNUGAGGGAAAGAUGAAAAGAACUUUGAAAAGAGAGUUAAAAGUGCUUGAAAUUGUUGAGAGGGAAGCGAUUAGCGCUUGUGUGUGCCCCCAGGCUUAAGUGUGCCUAACGGCCCAUUGAAUGU
Molecule: ribosomal RNA, 1756 nt
Organism: Volvox carteri f. nagariensis
Lineage: Eukaryota; Viridiplantae; Chlorophyta; Chlorophyceae; Chlamydomonadales; Volvocaceae
Rfam family: Eukaryotic large subunit ribosomal RNA
Source: Rfam